GUGUCAGCAGCCGCGGUAAUACGUAGGAUCCGAGCGUUGUCCGGAAUUACUGGGUGUAAAGGGCGUGUAGGUGGGUCUUUAAGUCGGGGGUGAAAUCCUGCAGCUUAACUGCAGAACUGCUUCCGAUACUGAAGAUCUUGAGUACGGCAGAGGGAGAUGGAAUUCAUGGUGUAGCGGUGAAAUGUGUAGAUAUCAUGAAGAACACCGGUAGCGAAGGCGGUCUCCUGGUCCGUAACUGACACUGAGGCGCGAAAGCGUGGGGAGCAAACAGGAUUAGAUACCCUCGUAGUCC
Molecule: ribosomal RNA, 292 nt
Filed under: uncultured bacterium
Lineage: Bacteria
Description: partial 16S ribosomal RNA
Rfam family: Bacterial small subunit ribosomal RNA
Source: RNAcentral